Molecule: ribosomal RNA, 292 nt
Filed under: uncultured bacterium
Lineage: Bacteria
Description: partial 16S ribosomal RNA
Rfam family: Bacterial small subunit ribosomal RNA
Source: RNAcentral
GUGUCAGCCGCCGCGGUAAUACGUAGGGUGCGAGCGUUAAUCGGAAUUACUGGGCGUAAAGCGUGCGCAGGCGGCUUUUUAAGCCAGAUGUGAAAUCCCCGGGCUUAACCUGGGAACUGCAUUUGGAACUGGAAGGCUAGAGUGCGGCAGAGGGGGGUAGAAUUCCACGUGUAGCAGUGAAAUGCGUAGAGAUGUGGAGGAAUACCGAUGGCGAAGGCAGCCCCCUGGGUCGACACUGACGCUCAUGCACGAAAGCGUGGGGAGCAAACAGGAUUAGAUACCCUAGUAGUCC